This 260-nucleotide ribosomal RNA is filed under the name Triticum aestivum (bread wheat). RNAcentral describes it as "partial small subunit ribosomal RNA". Lineage: Eukaryota; Viridiplantae; Streptophyta; Magnoliopsida; Poales; Poaceae. The record is from RNAcentral.
GGCGGUAGCUAAGCGAAGGCAAGGGCGCCCAUCGGGCGACGCUCGGAUCUCCCAUCUUGCCACGCAUCUGGUCGAUCUCAUACCUCUCGACACCUCGCGUCCACGGCGGCGCGAACAGACGGUGGCAGCGAAGCGAGUGCAAGGGGGCGGCGGAGGAGCUCUCAGCCGUUCCCACAUAUCCAACCUGAACCACCCUCCUUGGCUCUCCAGCAUUUCAUCUCAUCCGACUCAGUCCACGGCGUCGGGGUAUGCUAUUUUAU